Molecule: transfer RNA, 82 nt
Filed under: Mycoplasmoides gallisepticum str. R(low)
Lineage: Bacteria; Bacillati; Mycoplasmatota; Mycoplasmoidales; Mycoplasmoidaceae
Description: Mycoplasma gallisepticum str. R(low) tRNA
Rfam family: tRNA
About the family: Transfer RNA (tRNA) molecules are approximately 80 nucleotides in length. Their secondary structure includes four short double-helical elements and three loops (D, anti-codon, and T loops). Further hydrogen bonds mediate the characteristic L-shaped molecular structure. tRNAs have two regions of fundamental functional importance: the anti-codon, which is responsible for specific mRNA codon recognition, and the 3' end, to which the tRNAs corresponding amino acid is attached (by aminoacyl-tRNA synthetases). tRNAs cope with the degeneracy of the genetic code in two manners: having more than one tRNA (with a specific anti-codon) for a particular amino acid; and 'wobble' base-pairing, i.e. permitting non-standard base-pairing at the 3rd anti-codon position.
Source: Rfam by way of RNAcentral
CCUGGAGUGGCGGAAUGGCAAACGCAUCAGACUCAAAAUCUGACGGGUUACACCCUUGUGAGUUCAAGUCUCAUCUCCAGGA